UACGGUGGGGGCAAGCGUUGUUCGGAAUCACUGGGCGUAAAGGGCGCGUAGGCGGCUGUUCAAGUCGGGGGUGAAAUCCCGUGGCUCAACCACGGAAUGGCCUUCGAUACUGGACGGCUCGAGACCGGAAGAGGUGAGUGGAACUGCGAGUGUAGAGGUGAAAUUCGUAGAUAUUAGGAAGAACACCGGUGGCGAAGGCGGCCCACUGGAUCGGUACUGACGCUGAGGUGCGAAAGCGUGGGGAGCAAACAGG
This 253-nucleotide ribosomal RNA is filed under the name uncultured bacterium. Its description in RNAcentral is "partial 16S ribosomal RNA". It matches the Rfam family "Bacterial small subunit ribosomal RNA", at positions 524 to 776 of the family's 1533-position model. The record is from RNAcentral.